RNAcentral lists this transfer RNA (87 nucleotides) under Gammaproteobacteria bacterium. RNAcentral's name for it is "tRNA-Leu". It matches the Rfam family "tRNA". Rfam says of the family: Transfer RNA (tRNA) molecules are approximately 80 nucleotides in length. Their secondary structure includes four short double-helical elements and three loops (D, anti-codon, and T loops). The record is from RNAcentral. RNAcentral also lists the same sequence under 1 other name. Lineage: Bacteria; Pseudomonadati; Pseudomonadota; Gammaproteobacteria.
GCCCGGGUGGUGAAAUUGGUAGACACAAGGGACUUAAAAUCCCUCGGCCUUACGGCCGUGCCGGUUCGAGUCCGGCCCCGGGCACCA